AACGAACGCUGGCGGCAGGCCUAACACAUGCAAGUCGAGCGGGGACAGGGAAGUAGCAAUACGGAACUGUUCUAGCGGCGGACGGGUGAGUAACGCGUGAGCAACCUGUCCCAAACAGGGGGAUAACGAACCGAAAGGUUCACUAAUACCGCAUGAGACCACAUUGUCACAUGGCAAAGGGGUCAAAGGAGCAAUCCGGUUUGGGGUGGGCUCGCGUCUGAUUAGCUAGUUGGUGAGGUAAAGGCCCACCAAGGCGACGAUCAGUAGCCGACCUGAGAGGGUGAUCGGCCACAUUGGAACUGAGAGACGGUCCAAACUCCUACGGGAGGCAGCAGUGGGGAAUAUUGGGCAAUGGGCGAAAGCCUGACCCAGCAACGCCGCGUGAAGGAAGAAGGUUUUCGAAUCGUAAACUUCUAUCCUUGGUGAAGAUAAUGACGGUAGCCAAGAAGGAAGCCCCGGCUAACUACGUGCCAGCAGCCGCGGUAAGGCACGACUGU
This 497-nucleotide ribosomal RNA is filed under the name uncultured bacterium. RNAcentral's name for it is "bacterial SSU rRNA". It matches the Rfam family "Bacterial small subunit ribosomal RNA", at positions 30 to 532 of the family's 1533-position model. The record is from RNAcentral.